CGUAGGGACCGAGCGUUGUCCGGAUUCAUUGGGCGUAAAGAGCUCGUAGGCGGCCACUCAAGUCGAAUGUGAAACCUCGAGGCUUAACCUCGAGCCUGCAUUCGAUACUGGGCGGCUAGAGUCUGGUAGGGGGAUCUGGAAUUCCUGGUGUAGCGGUGGAAUGCGCAGAUAUCAGGAGGAACACCGGUGGCGAAGGCGGGAUCCUGGGCCAGUACUGACGCUGAGGAGCGAAAGCGUGGGGAGCAAACAGGAUUAGAUACCCUGGUAGUCCACGCCGUAAACGAUGGGCGCUAGGUGUGGGAGGUCAUCGACUCCUUCCGUGCCGCAGCUAACGCAUUAAGCGCCCCGCCUGGGGAGUACGGCCGCAAGGCUAA
Molecule: ribosomal RNA, 374 nt
Filed under: uncultured organism
Description: bacterial SSU rRNA
Rfam family: Bacterial small subunit ribosomal RNA
Source: RNAcentral